AGUAACGUGUGGGCAACCUGCCCUGCACUGGGGAAUAAUCAUUGGGAAACGAUGACUAAUACCGCAUACGGUUCCUGGGAGGCAUCUUCCGGGAAAGAAAGGAUUUAUUCGGUGCAGGAUGGGCCCGCAUCUGAUUAGCUAGUUGGUGAGAUAACAGCCCACCAAGGCGACGAUCAGUAGCCGACCUGAGAGGGUGACCGGCCACAUUGGGACUGAGACACGGCCCAGACUCCUACGGGAGGCAGCAG
Molecule: ribosomal RNA, 248 nt
Filed under: uncultured bacterium
Lineage: Bacteria
Description: partial 16S ribosomal RNA
Rfam family: Bacterial small subunit ribosomal RNA
Source: RNAcentral